This 428-nucleotide ribosomal RNA is filed under the name uncultured prokaryote. RNAcentral describes it as "bacterial SSU rRNA". It matches the Rfam family "Bacterial small subunit ribosomal RNA", at positions 355 to 774 of the family's 1533-position model. The record is from RNAcentral.
UGAGGAAUUUUGCGCAAUGGGAGCAAUCCUGACGCAGCAACGCCGCGUGGGUGAUGAAGGCCUUCGGGUCGUAAAGCCCUGUCAGGUGGGAAGAAUGUCCCGGAACUGAACAGGUUUCGGGAGUGACGGUACCACCAGAGGAAGCACCGGCUAACUCCGUGCCAGCAGCCGCGGUAAUACGGAGGGUGCAAGCGUUGUUCGGAAUUACUGGGCGUACAGCGCGUGUAGGCGGUCCUGCAAGUCUGAGGUGAAAGCCCCGGGCUUAACCCGGGAAGUGCAUUGGAAACUGCAGGUCUUGAGUACGGUAGAGGAUGGGGGAAUUCCGGGUGGAGAGGUGAAAUUCGUAGAGAUCGGGAGGAAUAUCAGUGGCGAAGGCGCCCAUCUGGACGGUAACUGACGCUGGGACGCGAAAGCGUGGGGAGCAAACA